CCUACGGGAGGCAGCAGUGGGGAAUAUUGCACAAUGGGGGAAACCCUGAUGCAGCGACGCCGCGUGAGUGAAGAAGUAUUUCGGUAUGUAAAGCUCUAUCAGCAGGGAAGAAAAUGACGGUACCUGAUUAAGAAGCCCCGGCUAACUACGUGCCAGCAGCCGCGGUAAUACGUAGGGGGCACGCGUUAAGCGGAUUUACUGGGCGGAAAGGGAGCGUAGACGGCAGCACAAGUCAGGAGUGAAAUGCCGGGGCUUAACCCGGGAACUGCAUUGGAAACUGUGCAGCUAGAGUGCAGGAGAGGUAAGUGGAAUUCCAAGUGUAGCGGUGAAAUGCGUAGAUAUUAGGAGGAACACCAGUGGCGAAGGCGGCUUACUGGACUGUAACUGACGUUGAGGCUCGAAAGCGUGGGGAGCAAACAGGAUUAGAUACCCCAGUAGUC
RNAcentral lists this ribosomal RNA (440 nucleotides) under uncultured bacterium. RNAcentral's name for it is "partial 16S ribosomal RNA". It matches the Rfam family "Bacterial small subunit ribosomal RNA", at positions 338 to 795 of the family's 1533-position model. The record is from RNAcentral.